RNAcentral lists this ribosomal RNA (253 nucleotides) under uncultured bacterium. Its description in RNAcentral is "partial 16S ribosomal RNA". It matches the Rfam family "Bacterial small subunit ribosomal RNA", at positions 524 to 776 of the family's 1533-position model. The record is from RNAcentral.
UACGUAGGGCGCAAGCGUUGUCCGGAAUUAUUGGGCGUAAAGAGCUCGUAGGUGGCGUGUCGCGUCUGCCGUGAAAGCCCAUGGCUUAACUGUGGGUCUGCGGUGGAUACGGGCAGGCUGGAGGCUGGUAGGGGAUCACGGAAUUCCUGGUGUAGCGGUGAAAUGCGCAGAUAUCAGGAGGAACACCGGUGGCGAAGGCGGUGAUCUGGGCCGGCACUGACGCUGAGGAGCGAAAGCGUGGGUAGCAAACAGG